GUACGGAAGGCAGCAGUGAGGAAUAUUGCACAAUGGGGGAAACCCUGAUGCAGCCAUGCCGCGUGUGUGAAGAAGGCCUUCGGGUUGUAAAGCACUUUCAGUUGUGAGGAAAGGGUUGUAGUUAAUAGCUGCCAUCUGUGACGUUAACAACAGAAGAAGCACCGGCUAACUUCGUGCCAGCAGCCGAGGUAGUACGAGGGGUGCAAGCGUUAAUCGGAAUUACUGGGCGUAAAGCGUACGUAGGCGGUUUAAUAAGCAAGAUGUGAAAGCCCAGGGCUCAACCUUGGAACUGCAUUUUGAACUGUUAGACUAGAGUACUGUAGAGGGUGGUGAAAUUUCCAGUGUAGCGGUGAAAUGCGUAGAGAUUGGAAGGAACAUCAGUGGCGAAGGCGGCCACCUGGACAGAUACUGACGCUGAGGUACGAAAGCGUGGGGAGCGAACAGGAUUAGAUACCCCGGU
Molecule: ribosomal RNA, 460 nt
Filed under: uncultured bacterium
Lineage: Bacteria
Description: bacterial SSU rRNA
Rfam family: Bacterial small subunit ribosomal RNA
Source: RNAcentral